UACGAAGGGGGCUAGCGUUGCUCGGAAUCACUGGGCGUAAAGCGCACGUAGGCGGAUCUUUAAGUCAGGGGUGAAAUCCUGGAGCUCAACUCCAGAACUGCCUUUGAUACUGGGGAUCUCGAGUCCGGAAGAGGUGAGUGGAACUCCGAGUGUAGAGGUGAAAUUCGUAGAUAUUGGGAAGAACACCGGUGGCGAAGGCGGCUCACUGGCUCAUUACUGACGCUCAGGCGCGAUAGCGUGGGGAUCAAACAGG
This 253-nucleotide ribosomal RNA is filed under the name uncultured bacterium. RNAcentral describes it as "partial 16S ribosomal RNA". It matches the Rfam family "Bacterial small subunit ribosomal RNA", at positions 524 to 776 of the family's 1533-position model. The record is from RNAcentral.